CCUUUCUUAUAUGAUGAAAUAAGUGUUGGUAGGGACAUCUGAGUUAAAUUGAUGAAACGCCAACCAUUCUGACUUAAAACG
This is a small nucleolar RNA of Salmo trutta (river trout), 81 nucleotides long. The record is from Ensembl. Lineage: Eukaryota; Metazoa; Chordata; Actinopteri; Salmoniformes; Salmonidae.